RNAcentral lists this ribosomal RNA (466 nucleotides) under Vreelandella stevensii. Its description in RNAcentral is "partial 16S ribosomal RNA". It matches the Rfam family "Bacterial small subunit ribosomal RNA", at positions 338 to 795 of the family's 1533-position model. Lineage: Bacteria; Pseudomonadati; Pseudomonadota; Gammaproteobacteria; Oceanospirillales; Halomonadaceae. The record is from RNAcentral.
CCUACGGGGGGCAGCAGUGGGGAAUAUUGGACAAUGGGGGGAACCCUGAUCCAGCCAUGCCGCGUGUGUGAAGAAGGCCCUCGGGUUGUAAAGCACUUUCAGUGAGGAAGAACGCCUGGUGGUUAAUACCCAUCAGGAAAGACAUCACUCACAGAAGAAGCACCGGCUAACCUCCGUGCCAGCAGCCGCGGUAAUACGGAGGGUGCGAGCGUUAAUCGGAAUUACUGGGCGUAAAGCGCGCGUAGGUGGCUUGAUAAGCCGGUUGUGAAAGCCCCGGGCUCAACCUGGGAACGGCAUCCGGAACUGUCAAGCUAGAGUGCAGGAGAGGAAGGUAGAAUUCCCGGUGUAGCGGUGAAAUGCGUAGAGAUCGGGAGGAAUACCAGUGGCGAAGGCGGCCUUCUGGACUGACACUGACACUGAGGUGCGAAAGCGUGGGUAGCAAACAGGAUUAGAUACCCCAGUAGUC